This 2155-nucleotide unclassified non-coding RNA is filed under the name Artichoke mottled crinkle virus. The stretch from base 1853 to 2016 matches the Rfam family "Tombusvirus 3' cap-independent translation element". The record is from RNAcentral. Lineage: Riboviria; Orthornavirae; Kitrinoviricota; Tolucaviricetes; Tolivirales; Tombusviridae.
GACCAAGAACACAUAAAACACAGGACUAGCACAUGGCAAUGGUAAAGAGAAAUAAUAACACUGGGCUUAUCCCAGUUAGCACGAAGCAGUUAAUGGCAUUAGGAGCGGCCGCAGGGGCUUCAGCCCUGCAGGGAUUUGUAAGGAACAACGGGGCGGCUAUUGUCGGAAAGGUCGUCGAUGUUGGACAGAAGGUGUACAAAGCAGUGAAGAAGCGAGGAGGUAAGAAACAGCAGCAGAUUAAGCAUGUAGGUGGUACAGGUGGGGCCAUUAUGGCCCCGGUUGCAGUUACGAGACAACUUACCGGGAGUAAGCCUAAGUUUACCGGUAAGACGUCUGGGUCUGUGACGGUUACGCACCGUGAAUACUUAUCACAAGUGAAUAUGUCCACAGGUUUCCAGGUAAACGGGGGAAUUGUUGGCAAUUUGUUACAGCUCAACCCGUUGAAUGGUACUUUGUUCUCAUGGUUGCCCGCGAUAGCGUCCAACUUUGAUCAGUACUCGUUCAACAGCGUUUUGCUACAUUAUGUCCCUCUGUGCGCAACCACUGAGGUGGGGCGAGUGGCUAUGUACUUUGAUAAAGAUUCGGAAGAUCCUGAACCUGCUGAUAGGGUUGAGUUGGCAAACUACAGCGUACUAGCAGAGACAGCCCCCUGGGCUGAACGUGCGCUCUGGGUUCCUACCGAUAGGAUUAAGAGAUUUUGUGAUGACAGUUCCACAUUAGAUCACAAACUUAUCGAUCUAGGACAGUUGGGCGUGGCUACAUAUGGUGGCGCUGGAACUAAUGCUGUUGGGGAUAUCUUCAUCUCCUACAGUGUUACGUUAUAUUUCCCUCAACCUACGAAUACUCUCCUUAGCACUAGAAGGCUCGACCUUGCUGGCACACCGGUCACAGCAUCCGGACCCGGGUACAUCCUGUUAACCAGGACGCCCACUGUACUUACAAUGACAUUUCGUGCCACUGGCACGUUUGUCAUCUCUGGAGCAUAUCGUUGUCUAACUUCAACGGUGCUCGGCCUGACAGGUGGGGUCAACGUGAACAGCAUUACAGUUGUGGACAAUGUUGGAACGAGCAGUUCAUUUUUCAUAAAUUGCACUGUCUCAAACCUACCGUCCGUUAUCACGUUUACUACCACUGGUAUAACAUCUGCUACGAUACAGUGCAAUCGUGCUACGCGACAGAACGAUGUCUCUUUAAUUUAGUGAGUCCUGUGAGGGGCCUCUUGAACUAGACCAGUUCAUGGAUACUGAAUACGAACAAGUCAAUAAACCAUGGAGCGAGUUAUACAAGGAAACGACGCUAGGGAACAAGCUAAUGGUGAACGUUGGGAUGGAGGAUCAGGAGGUACCACUUCUCCCUUCAAACUUCCUGACGAAAGUCCGAGUUGGACUGAGUGGAGGAUACAUAACGAUGAGACGGAUUCGAAUAAAGAUAAUCCCCUUGGUUUCAAGGAAAGCUGGGGUUUCGGGAAAGUUGUAUUUAAGAGAUAUCUCAGAUACGACAGGACGGAAACUUCAUUGCACAGAGUCCUUGGAUCUUGGACGGGAGAUUCGGUUAACUAUGCAGCAUCUCGAUUUCUCGGUGUCAACCAGAUCGGAUGUACCUAUAGUAUUCGGUUUCGAGGAGUUAGUGUCACCAUUUCUGGAGGGUCGAGAACUCUUCAGCAUCUCUGUGAGAUGGCAAUUCGGUCUAAGCAAGAACUGCUACAGCUUGCCCCAGUCGAAGUGGAAAGUAAUGUAUCAAGAGGACGCCCUGAAGGUGCUGAAGCCUUCAAAGAAGAAAGCGAGUAGGACAGACUCUUCAGUCUGAUUCUGUGGAAAUGAGAGUAAUUCUGACAUAGCAUACAGGUUACUCGUGUUGGGUUCUAGAUGUUAUGAUGACGAGCUGGUCGGGCUCCGCACGGGUUUGGUCGCCCGGGGAUGGAGAUAUGGAAAGGGUCUCGUGUGCUGUUAGUCAGUCGAAAGACGUGCUUGCAACAUGGGCCUAUAACCAGAUAAGUCAUAGCAAUACUAGCCAACAUGAAUUGGAUUCCUGUUUACGAAAGUUAGGUGUCACUUGUGGAGACAGAGUUAGACACGGUUGAUCUCACCCUUCGGGGGGGCUAUAGAGAUCACUGGAAGCACUACCGGACAACCGGAACAUUGCAGCAAUGCAGCCC